This 482-nucleotide long non-coding RNA is filed under the name Coturnix japonica (Japanese quail). RNAcentral's name for it is "lncRNA (ENSCJPG00005001708.1)". Lineage: Eukaryota; Metazoa; Chordata; Aves; Galliformes; Phasianidae. The record is from RNAcentral.
AUGGACGUCAUGUCCCCGCAACAGGAGCACCUCGGGCCCAGCCGAUCGUCCUCGGUGAGCGGCGAGAGCAGAGCGUUCGCCGCCGCCGACGGGAAGAAGCAAAAAAUGAAGAGUUUGGCCCAAAGACGCCAGUCUGCACCAUCCUUGAUCUUCGUCAAAGCACUUAACAGAUCUAGAUCUGUCUCAAGAAUUUCAGAAGCUUGUGGAAGUAUUUUGUGGAAACAUCAGAGUUGCAAAAUAGGAAAGGAAAAUGAGUAGAAACGACUUGCACGUCUUUUUACUGGCUGUGACUUGAAAGAGGAAGCUGAGAACUGAAUUUCUAAAGGUGUUUGCACCUUUUUGUGUAGUCUACUGGCCUCAGCUUAGGGCUGUGAGCCAGCAGCAUGUUCUGGUUCUGGCUGUAAAAUCUGUUCUGCGACCUCUUUUUUACUUUGUUUCCCGGUCUUUAAAAUAAAUGGAAUUGGUGUUCUGUAACCCCUUCA